Molecule: long non-coding RNA, 1013 nt
Organism: Hemicordylus capensis (graceful crag lizard)
Lineage: Eukaryota; Metazoa; Chordata; Lepidosauria; Squamata; Cordylidae
Exons: 4
Source: RefSeq, a predicted model, not a curated record
UCUCAGCUGAUCGGCGGGUGGGCGGGGCUUCCACGGAGGCCUCGUGUAGGCCUCUGUGAAGCCUGAACUCCAGUAGGGCCCAAGCCAGCCAGGAAGGAGGAGGCAGCAGCCAGAGUGGCCACCACUGGUCUCUGCAGCAGAAGACCCCUUGCUGCCCUGCCCAACCCAGCUCAGCUUUUGCCAGCCCAGAACUCCAGGAAACUCCUCCCAGAACUCUUUCCAGUGGCUGACAUCCCAAGGGACUAUCACCAUACCAGGAACCUUUGCCUAUGCUGUGAAGAGCUUUCUUAGCUGUGCAGUACAGAGGUGUGCAGGCCAUUAAACGUGACGGGUAAAUUUCCGCUUCAGCCCUCCUGCUUUGAAGUACUCAGCCUGACCCAAGAUCCGCCGAGCUGCCUGCCUAGAGGCAUAGGAAGGCCAUGGCUUUGAGAAUCAUGCAUAGUCAUCCACAACUUUGGAGCACCCUGCUGAAUUUGAGCCACCAGCUGUUAUAUAUGGCAGCUCAUGAAGGGUCCAGGAAACAUCCAGAUUUUGCCACCUGCCUGCAACUGCAAAAACAGGAGGGUUGGCAAGCACCAGGAAGGCCACAAUUCACAGCUGAGUGGCUGUGCUUGUAAGCCUGACCUAAUACCACAUUAAGGAUAUUUCAUGCAUCAGUCCAUUUCCUUAAAGUACACUGAUAAUUUAUAUGGGCAUUCAAAAUACAUGUUAUGGAUGGAUGACUUGAUACAUGCAUGUGCGUGCCUAUGCAAGGUUUAAAAUAGGGAUACAUUAUGAAGCAUGAACACAGCAGUCAGGAAUCAGAUCUCUGUGUUAAUUUUGCUCAGGGAAAUGCUGGGAAUCUGUAAUGUACAGACUUCAAGCUAAAUAUCCCAUCUAUUAUCAUGCCCCAACUGACUUUUUUAUGACAUGUCAUUUCACUACGGACAUUGCUUUGUUUCACAAAUGGUUUCCCCACAGAUAAUGAUUGUUGGUUGGCCAAGUUGGAACCUGACAGGAUUAAGGAAAUCUAA